CUUGAAUCUACAUGAAUGUAGGUGAAGAACCAGAAACAACUGAGGUCUGUCUACUGAAAAAUUGAAAAACCAAACUCUUGAAGGGACAUGCCACUUAUUUUACAGGGCAAAGAAAGUACUUACAAGAGUUAUGGUAGAAAUCAGACUAGGAAUCAGCAGAGAUAGCAAUUAGCACUGACAUCCCUGGUGGAUUUGAACAGUGUGAGUCUAUAGUGGCCACUUGCAUCCAAUUCAGUGACUUCCUGGAAGAAGGUACUGCAGCCCGGAGGUGAGAACACAAAAGGGAGGGGAGAAUUGACAUGACAAGGAGAACAAGGAAGCUGGAGGCAAAAAGCCAGACCAUGGCCUUGGGUUCAUGCUUGAGCACGGAGUUUAAAUGAAUGACUUCCACCUGAGAGUCCCCUCUGCCAAGUCGACAUGACAAGGAGAACAAGGAAGCUGGAGGCAAAAAGCCAGACCAUGGCCUUGGGUUCAUGCUUGAGCACGGAGUUUAAAUGAAUGACUUCCACCUGAGAGUCCCCUCUGCCAAGUCCAGGAGGGAUGGAGUAUGCCCUUCAUCUUCAACAUUGAACAGACUUAAUGCUUCUUCCCAAUGCAGAAUGGCAAAAGGAUCUAAUGUAAAUUCAAUACAGAAUGUUUUAAUAUGUGGCAGAACAACAGGGUGAUGGUGAAAAGGUAUGGAGAACAGAGAUCUAGACAUAAAUUAAC
This is a long non-coding RNA of Vulpes vulpes (red fox), 708 nucleotides long. NCBI's taxonomy places the organism in Eukaryota, Metazoa, Chordata, Mammalia, Carnivora, Canidae. The record is from Ensembl.